UCCUCCGUGGCGCAAUUGGCUAGCGCGUUCGACUGUUACACGAUGUCUUAUCUUUGUAGCGAUAUCGAGAGGUUGGAAGUUCGAGCCUUCCCGGGGGAG
This is a non-coding RNA of Plenodomus lindquistii, 99 nucleotides long. Lineage: Eukaryota; Fungi; Ascomycota; Dothideomycetes; Pleosporales; Leptosphaeriaceae. The record is from the annotation of a GenBank genome assembly.